This 254-nucleotide ribosomal RNA is filed under the name uncultured bacterium. RNAcentral describes it as "partial 16S ribosomal RNA". It matches the Rfam family "Bacterial small subunit ribosomal RNA", at positions 524 to 776 of the family's 1533-position model. The record is from RNAcentral.
UACGUAGGUGGCAAGCGUUGUCCGGAUUUACUGGGCGUAAAGGGCGCGUAGGCGGCCAGCACAAGUCAGUUGUGAAAUCUCCGAGCUUAACUCGGAAAGGUCAACUGAUACUGUGCGGCUAGAGUGCAGAAGGGGCAACUGGAAUUCUUGGUGUAGCGGUGAAAUGCGUAGAUAUCAAGAGGAACACCUGCGGCGAAGGCGGGUUGCUGGGCUGACACUGACGCUGAGGCGCGAAAGCUAGGGGAGCGAACGGG